Molecule: transfer RNA, 73 nt
Filed under: Sulfidibacter corallicola
Lineage: Bacteria; Pseudomonadati; Acidobacteriota; Holophagae; Acanthopleuribacterales; Acanthopleuribacteraceae
Rfam family: tRNA
About the family: Transfer RNA (tRNA) molecules are approximately 80 nucleotides in length. Their secondary structure includes four short double-helical elements and three loops (D, anti-codon, and T loops). Further hydrogen bonds mediate the characteristic L-shaped molecular structure. tRNAs have two regions of fundamental functional importance: the anti-codon, which is responsible for specific mRNA codon recognition, and the 3' end, to which the tRNAs corresponding amino acid is attached (by aminoacyl-tRNA synthetases). tRNAs cope with the degeneracy of the genetic code in two manners: having more than one tRNA (with a specific anti-codon) for a particular amino acid; and 'wobble' base-pairing, i.e. permitting non-standard base-pairing at the 3rd anti-codon position.
Source: Rfam by way of RNAcentral
GGGGGAUUAGCUCAGCUGGGAGAGCGCCUGCCUUGCACGCAGGAGGUCAGCGGUUCGAGCCCGCUAUCCUCCA